UACAGAGGGGGCAAGCGUUGUUCGGAAUUACUGGGCGUAAAGGGCGCGUAGGCGGCCCUCUAAGUCAGACGUGAAAUCCCUCGGCUCAACCGGGGAACUGCGCCUGAGACUGGAAGGCUUGAAUUCGGGAGAGGGAUGUGGAAUUCCAGGUGUAGCGGUGAAAUGCGUAGAUAUCUGGAGGAACACCGGUGGCGAAGGCGGCAUCCUGGACCGACACUGACGCUGAGGAGCGAAAGCCAGGGGAGCAAACGGG
Molecule: ribosomal RNA, 253 nt
Filed under: uncultured bacterium
Lineage: Bacteria
Description: partial 16S ribosomal RNA
Rfam family: Bacterial small subunit ribosomal RNA
Source: RNAcentral